GCCGAAGUGGUGAAAUUGGUAGACGCAGUGGACUCAAAAUCCUCCGAGUAUUAUACUCGUGCCGGUUCGAUUCCGGCCUUCGGCACCA
RNAcentral lists this transfer RNA (88 nucleotides) under Candidatus Cloacimonadota bacterium. Its description in RNAcentral is "tRNA-Leu". It matches the Rfam family "tRNA". From Rfam's summary of the family: Transfer RNA (tRNA) molecules are approximately 80 nucleotides in length. Their secondary structure includes four short double-helical elements and three loops (D, anti-codon, and T loops). Lineage: Bacteria; Pseudomonadati; Candidatus Cloacimonadota. The record is from RNAcentral. RNAcentral also lists the same sequence under 1 other name.